Molecule: long non-coding RNA, 1336 nt
Filed under: Anas platyrhynchos platyrhynchos (common mallard)
Lineage: Eukaryota; Metazoa; Chordata; Aves; Anseriformes; Anatidae
Description: lncRNA (ENSAPLG00000023862.1)
Source: RNAcentral
GCAGUACAUUGUAUAUGUUAAAUAAACUUGAGCAGUAUUUAUUUAUAACUGAAGAUACAAAGUUCAUUAGAGAGGAUGUGGUUCUUUAACUUGCCAGCAGGUUGACUAAUCGACAAGUAUGUGCUGGCUGGCCAUGCCAGAACAUGCCAGCCUUAAAGCUCUGCACAAACCAGACAGCACACCUUAUCUGAAUGUCCCACGGGAUCUGUCACAACACUCAGCAGAAGAUGGAAGGCUUUUGAACCAGAGAUGUCUAGUUAUCAGUGGGCUGGAAGGAAAAAAUCUUCCUGAUGCUUCAGGAAAUCAAGACAGACCUUUGAACUACAUGAUGAUGCAGAAGGCUAAUGAUCAGCAUAAAGGUACAAUAUUGUUUUAGGCAUUUGCAUUUGCCUGUGUGUUUUAAUUCUGCAAGAGAGUCUGCUUGGACAGAAGAGCACAAGCACUGAAUACACCAAAUAUUAAAUGCUGGCAGCUGUGUACCAAUGAAAACAAGCAGGAAUUUUACAGUCCAUUUACAGCCAAAAGUUUGUUUCACAGUAAAUCAUUAACAAUCUCCUCCUAAGUGUCACCGUUCACCUGGUUUCUUAAAUGCUCUGAAUCUCUCUUCUCUUAUCAAACUGCCACAAACUGCUGUAGCACAGCUUCAGGAAGCAUUAUCCCACAUCAACCACAAGCAGCCAGUUCUUACUUGAUGGUAACUACUACGUGGGAGUAUAUAGUCACACAGGCAGUUAUUUCCUGUUAAUUAUAUAUUUUUCAGUGAAUGCAGCUACAAAUCAUCAGUUUCUGAUUGCUCUCCUUCAAAUGAUUUAUUCCUCACAUUGUACCUUCCGAUCUGUUGAAAUGUUCAUAAUUCACCCUGUUAGCAUUUCUGUGACAAAUUGCAUGUGUUUGUGAGUUAUGUCUGCUCCUCCUUAGCAACUUAUGAACUCGUUUGCCAGCUUCAGCCUCACUAGACAAGUAUAUGUCGGGAAUAUUAAGUCCUUACACUGCGUGAAAAAUAAGAUUGUGGCAGACUAAAGUUAGAAAGUGAGGAAUAGACUUUAUUAGUUCUGGUGUUCACAGGUUUAGUUUCCUUUAAUGUUUACUGGCUGAAGUACCUGCACUGACAUUCCUGGUAGUAGACUAUGUGUUUAAGUUCAGAUCUCAUGAAAAAUUACUGAUUAAUUCUCUUCAGUAAAUAAUUAUUUCUGGUUAGGUCCAUCACAUUUCUUGGUUCAAAAAGCAGCGCCAACCUGUGCUUCAGGCAAAGCCUCCUCCCUAUACCCUCAUUUGCAAAGGCUCUGAUUUCCCAAACCACUUAUUUUAACCCGAAGCACCACAUUUACAGUCAGGA